This 148-nucleotide non-coding RNA is filed under the name Pan troglodytes (chimpanzee). The record is from Rfam by way of RNAcentral. Lineage: Eukaryota; Metazoa; Chordata; Mammalia; Primates; Hominidae.
GCCAGGUGUGGUGGUGCAUGCCUGUAGUCCCAGCUACUUGGGAGGCUGAGGCAGGAGAAUCGCUUGAGCCUGGGAGGUGGAUGUUACAGUGAGCCAAGAUUGUGUCACUGUACUCCAGCCUGGGCAACAGAGUGAGACCCUGUCUCAA